GUGGGGAAUCUUAGACAAUGGGGGAAACCCUGAUCUAGCCAUGCCGCGUGAGCGAUGAAGGCCUUAGGGUUGUAAUGCUCUUUCAGCUGGGAAGAUAAUGACGGUACCAGCAGAAGAAGCCCCGGCUAACUCCGUGCCAGCAGCCGCGGUAAUACGGAGGGGGCUAGCGUUGUUCGGAAUUACUGGGCGUAAAGCGCACGUAGGCGGAUCAGAAAGUCAGAGGUGAAAUCCCAGGGCUCAACCUUGGAACUGCCUUUGAAACUCCUGGUCUUGAGGUCGAGAGAGGUGAGUGGAAUUCCGAGUGUAGAGGUGAAAUUCGUAGAUAUUCGGAGGAACACCAGUGGCGAAGGCGGCUCACUGGCUCGAUACUGACGCUGAGGUGCGAAAGCGUGGGGAGCAAACAGGAUUAGAUACCCUAGUAGUCC
This 425-nucleotide ribosomal RNA is filed under the name uncultured bacterium. RNAcentral describes it as "bacterial SSU rRNA". It matches the Rfam family "Bacterial small subunit ribosomal RNA", at positions 354 to 796 of the family's 1533-position model. The record is from RNAcentral.